GNCNANCUGAUCAGCCAUGCCGCGUGUGUGAAGAAGGUCUUCGGAUUGUAAAGCACUUUAAGUUGGGAGGAAGGGCAGUAAGUUAAUACCUUGCUGUUUUGACGUUACCAACAGAAUAAGCACCGGCUAACUUCGUGCCAGCAGCCGCGGUAAA
This 154-nucleotide ribosomal RNA is filed under the name uncultured Pseudomonas sp. Its description in RNAcentral is "partial 16S ribosomal RNA". It matches the Rfam family "Bacterial small subunit ribosomal RNA", at positions 377 to 524 of the family's 1533-position model. Lineage: Bacteria; Pseudomonadati; Pseudomonadota; Gammaproteobacteria; Pseudomonadales; Pseudomonadaceae. The record is from RNAcentral.